RNAcentral lists this ribosomal RNA (423 nucleotides) under uncultured Methylobacter sp. RNAcentral describes it as "bacterial SSU rRNA". It matches the Rfam family "Bacterial small subunit ribosomal RNA", at positions 357 to 773 of the family's 1533-position model. The record is from RNAcentral. Lineage: Bacteria; Pseudomonadati; Pseudomonadota; Gammaproteobacteria; Methylococcales; Methylococcaceae.
GGGAAUAUUGGACAAUGGGCGAAAGCCUGAUCCAGCAAUACCGCGUGUGUGAAGAAGGCCUGAGGGUUGUAAAGCACUUUCAAUUGGGAGGAAAACCUGCCGGUCAAUACCCGGCAGCUUGACAUUACCUUUAGAAGAAGCACCGGCUAACUCCGUGCCAGCAGCCGCGGUAAUACGGAGGGUGCAAGCGUUAAUCGGAAUUACUGGGCGUAAAGCGUGCGUAGGCGGUUAUUUAAGUCAGAUGUGAAAGCCCCGGGCUUAACCUGGGAACUGCAUUUGAUACUGGGUAACUAGAGUUUAAUAGAGGAGAGUGGAAUUUCAGGUGUAGCGGUGAAAUGCGUAGAGAUCUGAAGGAACACCAGUGGCGAAGGCGACUCUCUGGAUUAAAACUGACGCUGAGGUACGAAAGCGUGGGUAGCAAAC